GACAGAGGUGCCAAGCGUUAGGCGGAAUCACUGGGCUUAAAGCGUGUGUAGGCGGGUCGUUAAGUGGCUUGUGAAAUCCCCCGGCUCAACCGGGGAAUGGCUGGGCAUACUGGCGAUCUUGAGCAGUUCAGGGGCAGAUGGAACAAGUGGUGGAGCGGUGAAAUGCGUAGAUAUCACUUGGAACGCCAAAGGUGAAAACAGUCUGCUGGGAACUUGCUGACGCUGAGACACGAAAGCCAGGGGAGCGAACGGG
RNAcentral lists this ribosomal RNA (253 nucleotides) under uncultured bacterium. Its description in RNAcentral is "partial 16S ribosomal RNA". It matches the Rfam family "Bacterial small subunit ribosomal RNA", at positions 524 to 776 of the family's 1533-position model. The record is from RNAcentral.